CCUCGUCUGUGGCUUUAAAUUCAUUAGGGACCCCUCUUGGAAUACCAAUGGCAUCUAGAUAGAUAUGUGGGUCGAAACUACCUUGUGGGGAUUCCCUUUUCCUUCUUGUGGAAUCAGUUACAGCCUUAAUUUCAGGGAGAGAGUCGCCAAAUAUAUGGAGGAGCAUGAUUAUUUUGGCUGGGGCACAUUCUCCUCUCCAGGGGGUGGGGAGUCUAGAACGUAUUUUCAUAUCUCCACAUAUUCAAUAAACAUCUCCCACAGAUUGUGUUUGAUUCACUAAGGUAAUAUUACUGUAGGCGGAGCAGAAUCCUGAAGAAAAGUUAUCAAAUGGUUUACCCACCUUACCAUUAUUAUUUCCCUGAAAAC
Molecule: non-coding RNA, 366 nt
Organism: Pelobates cultripes (western spadefoot toad)
Lineage: Eukaryota; Metazoa; Chordata; Amphibia; Anura; Pelobatidae
Source: the annotation of a GenBank genome assembly